RNAcentral lists this transfer RNA (77 nucleotides) under Candidatus Aenigmatarchaeota archaeon. RNAcentral's name for it is "tRNA-Met". It matches the Rfam family "tRNA". From Rfam's summary of the family: Transfer RNA (tRNA) molecules are approximately 80 nucleotides in length. Their secondary structure includes four short double-helical elements and three loops (D, anti-codon, and T loops). Lineage: Archaea; Nanobdellati; Candidatus Aenigmatarchaeota. The record is from RNAcentral.
GUCGGGGUGGCGUAGCCUGGUAGCGCGUCGCGCUCAUAACGCGAAGGUCGAGGGUUCAAACCCCUCUCCCGACACCA